RNAcentral lists this ribosomal RNA (467 nucleotides) under uncultured bacterium. Its description in RNAcentral is "partial 16S ribosomal RNA". It matches the Rfam family "Bacterial small subunit ribosomal RNA", at positions 28 to 507 of the family's 1533-position model. The record is from RNAcentral.
GACGAACGCUGGCGGCGUGCUUAACACAUGCCAGUCGAACGGAAAGGCCCUGCUUUUGUGGGGUGCUCGAGUGGCGAACGGGUGAGUAACACGUGAGUAACCUGCCCUUGACUUUGGGCUACUUCAGGAAACUGGGGCUAAUACCGGAUAGAAGCUCCUGCUGCAUGGUGGGGUUUGGAAAGUUUCGGCGGUUGGGGAUGGACUCGCGGCUUAUCAGCUUGUUGGUGGGGUAGUGGCUUACCAAGGCUUUGACGGGUAGCCGGCCUGAGAGGGUGAACGGCCACAUUGGGACUGAGAUACGGCCCAGACUCCUACGGGAGGCAGCAGUGGGGAAUAUUGCACAAUGGGCGGAAGCCUGAUGCAGCAACGCCGCGUGCGGGAUGACGGCCUUCGGGUUGUAAACCGCUUUCGCCUGUGACGAAGCGUGAGUGACGGUAAUGGGUAAAGAAGCACCGGCUAACUACGUG